Molecule: ribosomal RNA, 751 nt
Filed under: Nannocoris tuberculifera
Lineage: Eukaryota; Metazoa; Arthropoda; Insecta; Hemiptera; Schizopteridae
Description: bacterial SSU rRNA
Rfam family: Eukaryotic small subunit ribosomal RNA
Source: RNAcentral
AUCGGAGGGAAGCUGGUGCCAGCAGCCGCGGUAAUUCCAGCUCCAAUAGCGUAUAUAAAGUUCUUGCGGUAAAAAGCUCGUAUUGGUUCCUGUGCCUGCUUGUCGGUUCUCGCCUGCCGAUCGUAACCACACGUCAUGGGACGUCCUGUCGGUGGUAUUAAAGGCCUACCUCUUAGAAAAGGCCUCGCCUCCAAUAACAAUAGGUCACUUCAAUCGCCGAUUAAUACCCGCCGCGGUGCUCUUACUGAGUGUCGAGGCGGGCCGACACGUUACUUUGAACAAAUCAAAGCGCUUAAAGCAGGCAAAAGUCUGCCUGAAUAGUGGUGCAUGGAAUAAUAAAAUAAGACCUCGGUCUAUUUUGUCGGUUUUCUGAAUUUAAGGUAAUGAUCAAUAUGGACAGUCGGGGGCAUCCGUAUUGCGACGUUAGAGGUGAAAUUUUUUGAUCGUCGCAAGACGAACUAGAGCGAAAGCAUUUUGCCAAGUAUGUUUUAAUUGAUCAAGAACGAAAGUUAGAGGUGCGAAGGCGAUCAGAUACCGCCCUAGUUCUAACCAUAAACGAUGUCAACUAGCGAUCCGUCGAUUGUUUUUUUCAUGACUCGACGGCAGCUUUCCGGGAAACCAAAGCUUUUGGGUUCCGGGGGAAGUAUGGUUGCAAAGCUGAAACUUAAAGGAUUUGACGGAAGGGCACCACCAGGAUGGAGCCUGCGGUUCAUUUUGACUCACACGGGAAACCUCACCAGCCCAGACAUUG